Long non-coding RNA from Varanus komodoensis (Komodo dragon), 181 nucleotides. RefSeq lists it as uncharacterized. The transcript has 3 exons. The record is from RefSeq and is a predicted model, not a curated record. NCBI's taxonomy places the organism in Eukaryota, Metazoa, Chordata, Lepidosauria, Squamata, Varanidae.
UUAUUUUUGAAGUAGGCUAGAUUACUAGAGCUGAGGACUCUUUCAUGGAUCACUUCCUUGUCGUGGUGAAGGGGCUUGUGUAGCUCAAUGAAGCUAUGAGCUAUGCUGUGCAGGGUCACCAAAGACAGACAGGUCAUAGCAGAGAGCUCUGACAAAACAUGAUCCACUGGAGAAGGAAAUG